UGUUACUUGUCGGGGCGCCCAGCCCAGUUGAAACAUGACUGGCCGUGGCUGAGAUCGUAAUACGGGUCCCGUUGUACCUGAUCUGGAUAAUGCCAGCGUAGGGAACAAGGUUCCGGGCGCA
RNAcentral lists this non-coding RNA (121 nucleotides) under Spongiibacter sp. IMCC21906. RNAcentral's name for it is "TPP riboswitch aptamer (THI element)". It matches the Rfam family "TPP riboswitch aptamer (THI element)". From Rfam's summary of the family: Vitamin B(1) in its active form thiamin pyrophosphate (TPP) is an essential coenzyme that is synthesised by coupling of pyrimidine and thiazole moieties in bacteria. The previously detected thiamin-regulatory element, thi box was extended, resulting in a new, highly conserved RNA secondary structure, the THI element, which is widely distributed in eubacteria and also occurs in some archaea. The record is from Rfam by way of RNAcentral. RNAcentral also lists the same sequence under 1 other name. Lineage: Bacteria; Pseudomonadati; Pseudomonadota; Gammaproteobacteria; Cellvibrionales; Spongiibacteraceae.